Molecule: ribosomal RNA, 440 nt
Filed under: uncultured bacterium
Lineage: Bacteria
Description: partial 16S ribosomal RNA
Rfam family: Bacterial small subunit ribosomal RNA
Source: RNAcentral
CCUACGGGAGGCAGCAGUGGGGAAUAUUGCACAAUGGGGGGAACCCUGAUGCAGCGACGCCGCGUGAGUGAAGGAGUAUUUCGGUAUGUAAAGCUCUAUCAGCAGGGAAGAAAAUGACGGUACCUGACUAAGAAGCCCCGGCUAACUACGUGCCAGCAGCCGCGGUAAUACGUAGGGGGCAAGCGUUAUCCGGAUUUACUGGGUGUAAAGGGAGCGUAGACGGCGGAGCAAGUCGGAAGUGAAAGCCCGGGGCCCAACUGCGGGACUGCUUUGGAAACUGCCCGGCUAGAGUGCUGGAGAGGUAAGUGGAAUUCCUAGUGUAGCGGUGAAAUGCGUAGAUAUCAGGAGGAACACCAGUGGCGAAGGCGGCUUACUGGACAGUAACUGACGUUGAGGCUCGAAAGCGUGGGGAGCAAACAGGAUUAGAUACCCGUGUAGUC